This is a long non-coding RNA of Cimex lectularius (bed bug), 1858 nucleotides long. RefSeq lists it as uncharacterized. The record is from RefSeq and is a predicted model, not a curated record. Lineage: Eukaryota; Metazoa; Arthropoda; Insecta; Hemiptera; Cimicidae. The transcript has 4 exons.
GUGUUUUAAGUUGGUUUAAUUAAGAAUUUAUGUAGUAUUUUUAAGAAUAAAUUUCAAGCAAUUUUCAAUUUUAGUUUAGGGCGGUUCUGGAUGUUUCCAGGGCAACAAUUAAACAGCACAAAUAGCACAUGAGUAAUAAUCAAAUGUUUCCAAUGCAAAAACAAGUAGAUACGAGAUGACAAGAUAAAUUGGGGUGUAUAAAAAUAUAUUCAGAAGAUAAUUUUGUUUUUAAAAAAAUCAACUUUACUUUUUCUAAAUGUAGCAUCUGAUAAAAAAAAAAUAUUUUUUCAGGAAUGUACAACAGAUCUGACACACUUUUCUAAACUCUUUCAAGAUUAUGCCUGAGACUUCACAACAAAAGAACUGAGAAAUGCACAUUUAAGUCUGCCAACAGAUACGAGUCACAAAAAUACGCUCCUGAGGGAAUAUUGUCAUUAUUUUGCCAUUCCAUGCCGCUUCCUCAGCACUUUACAGAAUAAGUGAAAGGCAAAAAAAAAAAAAAUGGCACAUAUUAAUAUAAAUUAGGCACCUCAAAAGGAGAGGUUCAGUAUGGAGUUUGAUUAAAACUUAAAGCAACUUAACAAAGUUUACUCCAAUGUUUUAAAGUAAAAUAAAUUUCUAUCAAUGCCUGGCAAUAAACUCAUAUAAAUAUCAGGUAAGCAUUACUAAUAAACCAACAAAACACUAAUAAUAAUAAAUUAAUAUGGCACGCAAAACUUACAAUCACUGGACUUCAUUAAGCACUAGUUUGACUUUGUACAGAAAAUUUAAUUAGAAGUACAAGACAAUAUUAUAAAAUUUGUAAAACAGUAAUUAGGUUUUACUUUUAUAUGACCCAAAUUAAAUAGACAAGUUCACUAUCACCUUAAUUCUUUGUCUUGACAUCAUGUAUAACAUUUCUUUCCAGAAUUGGUGAGAAGACGUCGAGAUUCUAAUGUUUAAGAAGUUUGUAAAAAUCAUAUUCGUUAUUUAUUUCUCAUAAUAUUUAACGUGUAAAUCUUUCUACAAAUAAAAUUGUGCACUGCUCUCUAGAAUUCUUCUGUUUUUUAAAAUACUUUUUUGAAAGUUAUCUUCAACCCUUAUGGACUUGGAAUAGUGUAAAUGUUGACUUGAUGCAAAACAUGAUUCAACGGAUAACGAGAACAUUGAAUUUUCAUUAAUUGGCCUUAUAUUAAGGAAAGAUCUGGUUUUGUUAAAUGUGACCUUAAUUCAGGGGUUGUUCAUAUCAUUAAUUAUUCUAUUAGAUUUUAUCACUAUUAUAAGGUUAAUUUAAUUUGUUUAAUAUACAUAGACUAGAAUAAUAUAUAUAGUCCGAUACCAACAUUCUCAAGAAUGUUUUUCUAUUUUGGCCCCACAUUUUUAAUACUGAUUGAAAAUAAAAACUUCUUAUUUUUGUUUUUUACCAUUUUUUCCUUAAUGAACAUAAAAUCAUAUGAAUGUUAAUGACAAAAUUUCGUGGACAGCUGAGAUUCAAGAAUAUUUCCCAAGGUGCAUACUGACUCCACAACGAACCACUGAGCCGAGCACAAGCAUACGACAGUGUCAAUUUAUUCAUAUUAGAUUUGACUUACUCCGUUGCAUAGGAGGUGUCAGCUUGGCUCAUGUUACAAUAAAUGAAAGAAAGUAGUCAGAGUUAAUGUCCAUGUCUUCAAAAACGAAUAGGUGACACAGCUGGAAACGCACACAAUGGAAAGUUCGGUUUGUGAAAUUUUUUCUUGUCAGGAGGAGGAUUGAUUGAUUGGAACAUAAAAAGGGACUAAACUUAAAAGUAAUAUUAAUUUGAACAGAUGGUGGAAUAACAAUAUGUGCAUUUCAGAUACCAUAAGUGUAAAAUUACAGAAAAAAAACUUUUGUCAUA